UUUUAAUGUCCGCGUUGUACAGUGUUGACCUGUUUAAGAUGAUCAAAGGCUUUUUGCUUAUUUAUGGAUGGACUUCAGUUGGUGCAGAGGGCUCGGAUAAGUGUAUUUCUCAAUUCACAUGGCAUCAUCAUCAUUGUAUUUUGGUCUUAUCAAUAAGUGACUUUUGCAAAAAGCAUAUUCUUCACAGAGGUAAUUUCUUUUGUCUGUGUUGAAAGACUUAAUGAAUGAAUGAUAUGCUUCUAUUAUGAACAGUAAGCAACAUCUUUUCAGUGUAAAAAUCAGUUAACAGUAAUCGCUGUAUUACUUUGACUUAGAUGAAACCCCUAAAAUUAUAAAUAGUAGCAGGAACAUGUUUAAUAAUGACAGGUGUCAGAAGAACAGGAUUUAUAAAUAUUCAACAAGUUGAGAAAGAUCCUGUAGAUCAGUAAGAAUUUAAUACACAUGGUGGCCCACACUUGACGGCUCCGGAGGCUGAGGCAGGAGGGUUUCAAGUUCAAAGUCAGCCUCCUCAAUUUAGUGAGGCUGUAAGCAACUUAGUGAGAUCCUGUCUCUAAAUAAAAAAUAAAAACUGGGCUGGGGAUGUUGCUCAGUGGUGACCACUGCUGGGUUGAAUCCCUGGUAGAGAGAGAGAGAGAAAAAAAGAAUUUAAUACACAUAUGUCUUGCAUUUAAGAUUAACAAAAUAAUGUUUAAAAAUACUGUGCUUUUCUCUUUCAUCUUAUAAGCAAUAAAGUAUUUCUUUAGAGGGUCAGUUAGAUCAACAGAUGUAAUAUUAGCUCCUUAGCUUAAUCCUAGCAAUGUAUAAAUUCUAGCCUGUGAACCACAUACAAGAAUUGUCCCAUGGUCACAAUUGGAACUGAUUUUUACAAAUAUCAAGACUGAUUAAAUCAAAAUAAAUAAUCAUAUACACAUUAAUAUGUUAAAUUGUUCACUCAGCAAUGGUAAUUUAAAAACCAUUUCUAAAUUUAAUUGAAAAAGCUCUAUAAGAUAGGAGGAAAGACUAUCUCCUACAUUCAUUUCAUUGUAAUUGAUGAAUACCAAUAUUCAGAACAAAAGUUUAUUUGAAGGUAAGAUACUUGCUGACUAUUUGUUUACUAAGAAAAAAGGGGUGAAUUAUGCAUCUUUCCAAAGGAAAAAAUUUUUAAUUUAAUUUCUGUGAUUAUAAAAAGAAUUGAUACAUUUAUAAUUGCACUGUUUUGAUCCAUAUCCCUUUUUAAGUAAACGAAACAAUACCAAUUCAAAAAAUUUGUAUAGAAUUGAACUUGCUUCAUACAAAAUUUUCUAGCCUAAAAAUUAAGUGAAUUUCCUGCAUUUCUAGAUAUUCUUCUUCUUCUCUUUAUUUUCCUUACAAAACAUUUUAUUAAAUGGAAGAUUGAAAUUGUAAUUGUUUAUAGGAAUGUGGUUUUAAAAAAUAUUUUCAGUAAGAAUGACAAAAUCAGCCGGGUGUGGUGGCGCACACCUAUAAUCCCAGCGGCUCUGGAGGCCAAGGUAGGAGGAUUACAAAUUGAAAGCCAGCUUCAGC
This 1521-nucleotide long non-coding RNA is filed under the name Marmota monax (woodchuck). Lineage: Eukaryota; Metazoa; Chordata; Mammalia; Rodentia; Sciuridae. The record is from RNAcentral.